AACGUAGGGGACAAGCGUUAUCCGGAUUUACUGGGCGUAAAGCGCCCGUAGGCGGCUUGAAAAGUUGGACGUGAAAGCUCCUGGCUUAACUGGGAGAGGCCGUUCAAAACUGUCAGGCUAGAGUAUGGAAGAGGAGCGUGGAAUUCCCGGUGUAGUGGUGGAAUGCGUAGAGAUCGGGAGGAACACCAGUGGCGAAAGCGGCGCUCUGGUCCAAAACUGACGCUGAGGGGCGAAAGCGUGGGGAGCGAACGGG
Molecule: ribosomal RNA, 253 nt
Filed under: uncultured bacterium
Lineage: Bacteria
Description: partial 16S ribosomal RNA
Rfam family: Bacterial small subunit ribosomal RNA
Source: RNAcentral